This is a long non-coding RNA of Gasterosteus aculeatus aculeatus (three-spined stickleback), 2726 nucleotides long. Lineage: Eukaryota; Metazoa; Chordata; Actinopteri; Perciformes; Gasterosteidae. The record is from Ensembl.
UCGGCUCCUUCUUCACCAACGUCGACCAGCAGCUGAGUCCCGCCACUGAAAACCACGGAGAAGGAGACGGCGCGUCUGCCGGGCAGAGAGCAAACGCACCAACAUCUGCAGGAGGAAACGCACCGUGAGGACAAAGCGACGCUCACAGAGCAGCUUCUUCAGUUUCUCACCGCAGCAGGAAGAUGAAGCUCAGAGCCGUAUCCAUCCCAAAGGCCUCUAUCUCCAGCCGUUCAAGCUGCCGAGGAGGAAAUACACUGAAAUGAAAUGGUCCUUGGAGCUGCGGCUGCAGUCAGUCUGAAGUCUGAUGAUCUUUGGGUCUGUAAAACAGAAAUAUGAAAACCGUUGAAGCAGAACACCGACAGCCUCCAGAGGAGGGACGCUGCUCUGGGAUCAGAUCGACCGUUGGUUCGCAGCUGGUGACAGAAAAACAGGACAUCUUCUCACUGUGGUUCCAACUGGCGUCCGAGAUAAGAUCCCCACACCAAAGAAACACAAUCGCUACAACACAUAGUGUUGGUCUGUGUAAAACUAGUAUGAUGAGAAUUGUUGUAACAUUCUUCUUUUGGUUUUUUAAUAUUAUUAUAGCAACAUGAAGAUCUUCUUACUGUCGACAUUGUGUUGAAUGAAUCUUUCUGUUGGAUUUCUCUCCAGGGAUUUGAUCCCAAAUACAACUUGACAAUAAUUUUUUAAAGCACUGAUAUUCCACUAUUGUAGAUAUGAUGUACAUGCGUGUUAGUGACGUAAAAAAGAGCAGGUUGUCUCCGGAUGAAACGGCGCCCCCUGUUUGUAACGUGAGUAUAAUCAAACAAUCACAGCGAGUCUAACUGAGAAAAAACAGGUGGCGGCGGAGUGUCAACAAACAAAAUGGCGUCUCAGCAACACGUGCGCUGUCAUUAUCGGACCGAUGGAGAUGGUUUAAGGACCCUGAAAAAAAAGAGACCCAGCUUCACAUCCCGCUAGCAUCAUUAAAGUUGACAUCGCUGCCCAGCUGCGACGCACACAGGACCGCGACAGUGAAAGUACAACAGACUGAAGAUCCAUCCGACUCGGAUGAAACCGCAUGGCGUCGUUUCUUCUUCUUCUACUCUCCUCCCCGGGUCACGGGGUCACGGCGCAGUAAUAAACUGCCGAGUCGCUCCAUGUGGCGUCGAGCAGCAGCAGCGAGCCGUCGGCUCCAGCGGAGACCUUCCCCGGGCCCACGGCGGCGCCGUACUUCACGUCGGAGGCGUUUGUGGACCUGAAGGCCAGCAGCAGCUCCGGGCGGCGUCCUGCCGCUGUCCGGUACCAGCUGAGGGUGGAGGAGGCGUUGGUGGAGGAGGCGUUGGUGGAGGCGUCCAGCAGGGGGCACCGCAGGGCGGCGUCCUCCCCGACCCUCACCCGCACGGGGGAGGCUGGCAACGCGGCGGCGGCGUGCGGCUCCCACCGGAAACCUGAGACACGUGUUUAUUUAUAAUCGUUUUCAUCCACACAGACAGAAUCAAUAUAACUAAAGUAGGUUGUAGUAGAACUAGUUCUGAGAAGAAAAAAAAAAUGCUUUUGAUUCCAAACAGUAAGAAAUUACAUUUGAAACAAAAGUAAUAAUAUAGCUUUUCAAGUUAAAACGAGAUGGAAAGUUGAUUUAAUUUCGUGCCGCUAAGUGGUGACUGACCAAUAGUUGCACCUCUGAAUAUUUGUUCCUCCAUUAAUCCUGAAUAUUUAAACAUGUAAAGUAUCGUUCAGGCGCUGCAUUUCUAAUCCUUCUUAAAGGAAGCUUUAAUUUGAAGGAACGUUCGGCAUAAAAUCCCUUCAAUUUGCCCAAAAUGAGUCUUCUACCUGUCAACAGUUGAUGCGUUUAGUCACCAGAUUAUGAAUCAGUUGCCUGAAGAUUAUAUUUCAAUAUCAAUUUAAGCAUAAAACUAAAUAUGUGUAUGCAGAGUUUAGACAUUAAUAAUAUAAACAAAACAACUCACUGCUGAAAGAGAGGAUCAGACCAACCAGCAGAGACUCCAUCACUGAGGAAGCUGCUAACUGAAAGACUUCAAUGACAAAGAUGUCCUCCGGUGGUGGAGACACUGAGACAAGAGCCGAUCACACAUCAGUCCCGCUCUGUUAUUGAUCCACACCAACAGCUACUUCCUGUUUACUUCCUGGUGUUGCAGUGAUGGUUGAGCGUGUGGGUCUAAAUCACCAGGGGGGUAAAUGUGACCAUGGAACACCUGCAGGAAGUUUAAGUAACCGCUUGUCUUUUAUAGAUGAGAAUAUUUUCGUUGUAAGAUUGAACUAGUUUAUAAUCCCAAACAGAUUUAAUAAUUAGUUCAAACUUUAGCUAUCAACUCGUUUAUGUCAGCAGAAAAUUAAAACCAUAAAUGAGUGCAGUCGGUAAAUAUAUGAAUUGAAUAUUAUAUUAGGAAUGUGGCAGGUAAAAGUACCCGUGCUACCCAACCAAACCCUGCCGGUGCCUUGGGGAGGAUUUACAGUGGGCAGACUGACCCGUAAACAGGCGUCAGAAAACACUUCCAAGGUUCUAGAACCUCGGGGACGGUCUCAUCUGAACCGCUAUAUUAAUAAUGUUAAUAUUAUUGUUACGAUCAUUAUAAUCACAUUAUUAUUUAUACUACUUAAACGUAUCAUUAUUUUAUAUUAUUAUCUCUGUUAGUAAUAUUUAUGCAUUAUUGCCUUUUUAUUUAUUAUUGUUAUUUAUGUUGUCAUUGUUGUUAUCAUGACAGUUGGACUCUAGGUGUGGCCCC